This 468-nucleotide ribosomal RNA is filed under the name uncultured bacterium. RNAcentral describes it as "partial 16S ribosomal RNA". It matches the Rfam family "Bacterial small subunit ribosomal RNA", at positions 28 to 507 of the family's 1533-position model. The record is from RNAcentral.
GACGAACGCUGGCGGCGUGCUUAACACAUGCAAGUCGAACGGAAAGGCCCUGCUUUUGUGGGGUGCUCGAGUGGCGAACGGGUGAGUAACACGUGAGUAACCUGCCCUUGACUUUGGGAUAACUUCAGGAAACUGGGGCUAAUACCGGAUAGGAGCUCCUGCUGCAUGGUGGGGGUUGGAAAGUUUCGGCGGUUGGGGAUGGACUCGCGGCUUAUCAGCUUGUUGGUGGGGUAGUGGCUUACCAAGGCUUUGACGGGUAGCCGGCCUGAGAGGGUGAACGGCCACAUGGGGACUGAGGUACGGCCCAGAGUCCUACGGGAGGCAGCAGUGGGGAAUAUUGCACAAUGGGCGGAAGCCUGAUGCAGAAACGCCGCGUGCGGGAUGACGGCCUUCGGGUUGUAAACCGCUUUCGCCUGUGACGAAGCGUGAGUGACGGUAAUGGGUAAAGAAGCACCGGCUAACUACGUG